UGGCCGAAAGGGCAAACUGUCGGUGACGGCAGGACGCAAAGCUUCCGGUCUCUUAGGUGGAGAUAGCGGGGUUACCGAA
Molecule: non-coding RNA, 79 nt
Filed under: Sphingobium sp.
Lineage: Bacteria; Pseudomonadati; Pseudomonadota; Alphaproteobacteria; Sphingomonadales; Sphingobiaceae
Description: c-di-GMP sequence
Rfam family: c-di-GMP-I riboswitch aptamer
About the family: GEMM was predicted in a large-scale screen for bacterial structured RNA regulatory elements. Genes associated with GEMM are involved in a diverse array of functions, including chemotaxis regulation, signal transduction, secretion and chitin.
Source: RNAcentral